AACGUACGCUGGCGGCACGCCUAACACAUGCAAGUCGAACGAAGUAGCAAUACUUAGUGGCAGACGGGUGAGUAACAUGUAGGUAUCUGCCCUUUGGCCUGGAAUAACACGAGGAAACUUGUGCUAAUACCGGAUAAGUCUUUACGGAGAAAGCUUUAUGCACCAUUGGAUGAGCCUGCACUUGAUUAGUUUGUUGGUGGGGUAAUGGCCUACCAAGACUGUGAUCAAUAGCUGAUUUGAGAGGAUGAUCAGCCACAUUGGGACUGAGACACGGCCCAAACUCCUACGGGAGGCAGCAGUGGGGAAUCUUGCACAAUGGAGGAAACUCUGAUGCAGCGAUGCCGCGUGAGUGAAGAAGGCCCUUGGGUUGUAAAGCUCUUUCGUCGGGGAAGAAAAUGACUGUACCCGAAUAAGAAGGUCCGGCUAACUUCGUGCCAGCAGCCGCGGUAAUACGAAGGGACCUAGCGUAGUUCGGAAUUACUGGGCUUAAAGAGUUCGUAGGUGGUUGAAAUAGUUGGUGGUGAAAUCCCAGAGCUUAACUCUGGAACUGCCAUCAAAACUUUUCAGCUAGAGUAUGAUAGAGGAAAGCAGAAUUUCUAGUGUAGAGGUGAAAUUCGUAGAUAUUAGAAAGAAUACCAAUUGCGAAGGCAGCUUUCUGGAUCAUUACUGACACUGAGGAACGAAAGCAUGGGUAGCGAAGAGGAUUAGAUACCCUCGUAGUCCAUGCCGUAAACGAUGUGUGUUAGACGUUGGAAAUUUAUUUUCAGUGUCGCAGGGAAACCGAUAAACACACCGCCCUGGGGAGUACGACCGCAAGGUUAAAACUCAAAUGAAUUGACGGGGACCCGCACAAGUAGUGGAGCAUGUGGUUUAAUUCGAAGAUACGCGCAGAACCUUACCAACACUUGACAUGUUCGUCGCGACUCU
Molecule: ribosomal RNA, 927 nt
Filed under: uncultured bacterium
Lineage: Bacteria
Description: bacterial SSU rRNA
Rfam family: Bacterial small subunit ribosomal RNA
Source: RNAcentral